Molecule: ribosomal RNA, 509 nt
Filed under: uncultured bacterium
Lineage: Bacteria
Description: partial 16S ribosomal RNA
Rfam family: Bacterial small subunit ribosomal RNA
Source: RNAcentral
ACGAACGCUGGCGGCGUGCUUAACACAUGCAAGUCGAACGAAGAGCGCUGGAAGCUUGCUUCUAUCAAUCUUAGUGGCGAACGGGUGAGUAACGCGUAAUCAACCUGCCCUUCAGAGGGGGACAACAGUUGGAAACGACUGCUAAUACCGCAUACGAUCCAAUCUCGGCAUCGGGACUGGAUGAAAGGUGGCCUCUAUUUAUAAGCUAUCACUGAAGGAGGGGAUUGCGUCUGAUUAGCUAGUUGGAGGGGUAACGGCCCACCAAGGCGAUGAUCAGUAGCCGGUCUGAGAGGAUGAACGGCCACAUUGGGACUGAGACACGGCCCAGACUCCUACGGGAGGCAGCAGUGGGGAAUCUUCCGCAAUGGACGAAAGUCUGACGGAGCAACGCCGCGGGAGUGAUGACGGCCUUCGGGUUGUAAAGCUCUGUUAAUCGGGACGAAUGGUUCUUGUGCGAAUAGUGCGAGGAUUUGACGGUACCGGAAUAGAAAGCCACGGCUAACUACGUG